This is a non-coding RNA of Pan troglodytes (chimpanzee), 148 nucleotides long. It matches the Rfam family "Metazoan signal recognition particle RNA". From Rfam's summary of the family: The signal recognition particle (SRP) is a universally conserved ribonucleoprotein. It is involved in the co-translational targeting of proteins to membranes. Lineage: Eukaryota; Metazoa; Chordata; Mammalia; Primates; Hominidae. The record is from Rfam.
GCCGGGCGUGGUGGCGCAUGCCUGUAAUCCCAGCUACUUGGGAGGCUGAGGCAGGAGAAUUGCUUGAGCCCGGGAGGCAGAGGUUGCAGUGAGCCAAGAUCGUGCCACUACACUCCAGCCUGGGCAAUAGAGUAACACUCCGUCUCGA